This 21180-nucleotide long non-coding RNA is filed under the name Triticum aestivum (bread wheat). Its description in RNAcentral is "long non-coding RNA (TAES_LNC009158)". Lineage: Eukaryota; Viridiplantae; Streptophyta; Magnoliopsida; Poales; Poaceae. The record is from RNAcentral.
CAACACACACGCGCGCACACACAAAGCGCAGCAGGUUCAACACUAGCUACAAUCACAAGUAGGCAGCAAUGGCGAGGCAUCGCCUCCUCGCCGUGCUCCUCAUCGGCAUAGUUGCAGCCUCCGCCUUCAACCAAGCAGCUGUGGCUGGCCGAGGCCUUGCUGCCAUCGAGAAGUUUGCAGAGCUAGAGCCAAAGCCAGAACCUAAACAAGAGCUAAUGCCCAAACCUAUGCCACACACAGAGCCAGAGCCAUGCAAACCUGAACCGACGCCCAAACCCAAACCAAAGCCCGAACAAAAGCCUGGACAUAAGCCUGAGCCAGAACCCAAGCCCAAGCCGAUGCCAAAACCGAAGCCCGAGCCCUGCUCCAAACCAAAGCUGGUGCCAAAACCCGAACCAAAGCCAGAGCCCAAGCCUGAACCUGAACCGAAACCGAAGCCGCCUCCAAAGUGCAAACCACCGACAACGCACAAUUGAUGGGAUGCUUAUAUAUGAGAGUUGAUGGAGGAGACCCCGCACGGAGCCACACUGUGCUAUUUCUAGAAUAAGUGGUGUAGUACUCCUUGUAUUCCAUUUCUUUCUAUUUUUCCAUGCAGAGUACGUACUAGUACUCUGUAAUUACUAUUUGCUUGUUGGUAUAUGUUCAUCUACUUUGUAUGUGACUGACUCGUUGUUCUUUUGAGUAUCUACGCAUGAUUGUAUUCAUUCACAUCAAUGAGCUAUUUCGUUAGUGGACUGCAGUCUAUGUUGUUUUCUCUAUGGGGUUGUUUCAUAUUAUGUGGUCUUUUUUGGGGGGAAAGACGAUGUCAACAAAAAAGAAGAAAAUGACUCCCUAAAUAGCAGCACACAUAUGAAGUGUAUAGUGUGCGCGUACGUGCCUGGUGUUCUAGAUGUAUAAAGUGUACUCACACGCAAGACAACAGCCUUGUUCUCUACCCUUCACCUAUGAGCUAAGUCCCGACCGUGUGCGUUAGUAUUUAUGCCCAGGCUGACUCCGCUGCUGGUUAUACUAGCUAAACUUUGCACACAUUGCUACGAAAAUUUAUAGCAAUGAAAUUUUGAAAACUAGCAUAUAUGGGGAUAAUACUACACAACAUUCUCACCAUAUGUCAAUGAAAACCUACAUGUAAUGGAGGGUGGAUGCAUUUUAUAUUGUCUUGUGACCUUAUAGUUUAAUUAUUUCUUGCUGAACAUAAAUAGUAAAAAAUAAUGAGGUGAAGAGCUUUCAUGUGUUUGAUGAUGUGGAGGACUUGCAUAUGAUGAAAAGUGAAAAGUUGAAUGAUUACAUGCACGCUUGAUGAUAUGGAGGACUUGCCUGUGAUGAAAAGUGGUAAGUGAAAGUUUAUUGGCUGCAUGCCCUUCAUAAUGUGAUUGACAUGCAUGUGUAUUUAAAUGGGAUGACUUACUUAGAUACUAUAUAGGAUAUGUUUGAAAGAUAACUACACCCCCUAGGUCAAGAUUACCAAGAAAAACACCAUGGAAAUUAUUAUUAAUAGAUUUUCUCUUACUCAAUUCGCAACAAGAAAAAACACUCAACGACAAUGCUAUGCAACAUAAGAGAGACCACAAUAAUCUCUCACCCACCCCAUGGUACUGCCAGGGUAGGCUCUAUGAUUUUAAGAGCCCUUGGGUGAAGUUGGCGAAUUGAUCAUCCUUAUUUUUUCCUUUUUCAACACUCAACAAAUCUUUUUUAAGAAACAUUAUAGUAACCCUAAAACUGACGAGGAAAGUAAAUACAUAAAUUGAACUUUGAAAUUAGAGGUCUAACAUUUAACAUGCUUCGAGGAAUGGGUGGCACUGAUAAUAUGGCUAUGGAUGCAUGCAAUGAGAGAUCUAGAGAGUGACAAGCUCGUGCCUUGUUGUCCUUGACGUAUGAGGAGGCGGCGAGACUCACGUCGUCAAGCUUCGAGACAAACCUGCAACGACGAAGAUCGUGAAUUGCAAUAAGGAGAACUGGUGAUGCCAUGUGUCCAUGUCGCAUACCGAUUGUGAUUCUUUUCCUUUUGAUGGACUAGUUCAACCAACGGCUAAAAGCCUAAAGCUUGCUUUUAGGAGAGCGUGUAUACCUCACUUUUAGUAGAGCUCCUUCUCAACGCUUAUAGCGCUCGCUGCAGCGCACAUGUGCUCGUGCAAAUGGGUCUUCCCAUUAAUUGGUAAAGCAGUUGCUCGCCCGACCGCCCACUACACUCCUUUUUUGCCGCCUUCUUUUCCUGGUAUUGCUCUAUAUAUUAUUCAAUGAAAGAAAACUUCCACCGGGUUUACAAAUUUAAAAAAAUCAUGAAUAUGAAAAGGUUCACAAAUGUGAAAAAAUACGGAUUUGAAAAUAUAAUUUAUUCAAAAACAUGGACAACUUCUAAAAAAUCACAAAUUCAUUUUUUGCGAAUUCGAAAAGGUGAAUUAAAAAAUUGUAAUUUCAAAAAACUCGCAAAUAUGAAAAAAUGUUCACAAAAUAAAGAGUUCAUGAAUUUAAAAAUAAUAAAAGAAUGCAAACAGAAAAGAGAAACAAGGCGGAAAAGUAAAAAAGAAAAACCAGGCAGAAAGUUUACAGAACCAAAGUUGACCCAUAAGCUUUUGGAAAAUUCCUAAAAACGGGAGGGAGCUUCCGCUCACGUAAACCCCAUAGAUUGGCCACCCCUUAUACGAUCUAUUGAAGGAAGAGGUGUAUGCGCUUUCUACCAAUAACUUAGACACUAGUGCUAAAUAGCAUAUUUCCACUUUUAGCGAGGGGUAGAACGAAAUUUGACUAUAAAGCCACGGCAUGGGCCAAUCGCAACAUUUUCUUUCUAACAAACAAGAUUUUUCUAUAGGGGCACACGUCUCACUCUAAUGAGCGUGUUUUUUUCAUUCUUAUUUUCACUUUUUUUUCUCAUUUUCUAGAAAACGUUCUAUAAAAUAUAUGGGUUUGUACUUUUGGUAAGUGAUCAUGUAGUUUAAUAAGUGUAAAUGUACUUAAAAAUGCUCAUCAUGUAUUUAUAAAACAUUUUCAAAAAAAUCAAACAUUUUUCAAAUACACAUAGAACUGAAAAGUGUUCAAAUAUUUUCCGAAAAUAUACACUGUGAACAUUUUGAACAAUAUAGGAUGAAGAUUUCUUUCAAUACAUGAUGAACCUUUCAAAUAACAAUAUUUUUCUAAAAUUGCACAAUGAUUUUUUUAAAUCCAUGAUAAUGUUUAAAUAUACAAUAUUAUUUUCAUACACGACGAACAUUUUGAAAAAACAUGAGUGAGCAUUGCCCAACUCCCAUGAGGGAGGGGCGAUGAUCGUGGUGCACUUUCGGCUUGGUCGAGUGAUUGUAGACAUCGCUAGGUGGUCUAUGGAACUGGAUGUAAGUUAUGUUACUUCAGGUGUUCUUAUACUGACAUGAUAGUUGAUAAAUAGAUCGAAAGUUUUUUUUUGUAAAAAAUAAAAGAAACAUUUCGAACUUGUCUUAAAAAUUGUUCCUGAGAUUUUGAAAAUAUAUUUGCCUUGUUCCAAAAAAUUACAUUUUCAUUUUUCACAUGUUUAGAAAAUUGUUCAUGGCAAUACUAAAAAUGUUUCAUUAUAAAAAAAGUUCUUACAUUUUUUAUAAAAAUGUUCAUAGUAUAUCAAAAAAUUUCAUCAUGUAUUUAUAAAACGUUCAAAUAUGUAUUGGAAAAAUAUUAUAUGUGUAUUUUUAAAAAUAUUUUGAAAAAAAAUCAGCAUGUAUUUGAAAUAUGGAAAAAUGAAAAAGAAAAUACAAAACAAAACAUGAAAUAAAUGAAGAAAAGUAAAAGGGGUAUGAAAAUGAAAAACCUAAAGAAACGCGAUAAAGAAACCAGAAGAAAAAACCCAAACAGAAUGUUUCAAAAAUCGCACGAAACGAACCAAUGCUACGCCUCCACCGCGACUGGGCCACAGCCCGCACACCAUUGCCAGAGGUGAGGGCCGCAUUUGCGCAAAAUGACCGCACACAUUGAACAAACUGUCAGCUAGCUAGUUAUUAGAAUGACAUGUAACUUUAUUCAAACUCAACAAAGUUACAGGUACAAUGCUUUGAUCAUGCAUACAAGAAAUUAUAAAAUAAUUCCUAUAACUAAGAAUUACGAUGCAACCCUCUUGAGUAAAAGUAUGACAAACGGAGGAAAAAAAUAUUAGCACAAUAUAAUCCUUGCUCUAUCCGAAUAUAUGGCGGUACAAAACUCAGCAACCCCGUUCGUUUUGGAGCUCCGGCUCCAUGAGGCCUUUUUUGGAAAAUCAGACAUGCAUAACUAAAACAUACGUGAUCUAACAUAUCUUAUAUUAGUUUACAGAGGGAGUACAUGCAUAAGUAAAACAUACGCAUGCAUGAGACUGGAGAAUGAGGGGCAUGCAUCGUCAAAAUAGGGUAGUUUGUCGGACAGUUAUAAGAUUUAAUAAUUUGGGGCAAUAAGCAUGAUAAAUCCUCAUUGGUAUCUAUAAUUUUGAAACUGUGCCCAGUAUACCGGGCCAGAGGGAGUGCUUGAGAAACACUUUUUACAAAAAGAAGGAUAACCCCUGAUCUAUGCAUAAGCAAUGCACACAGCCACUUUUAUUAUAUUAUUCAACAAAAUCUGACAAAACUAGUACAUGGACAACAUAAAGCCAUCUUCAUGGCAACCACUUGAGAAAACACUGAGUCCGUGAAAACUCGGUCGACGAAGCAGUCCAGGGAGCCUUGGGGCUUCCAACAGGUGGUGAAGCUCCCGCACAGGGUGUACGAUCGGGCCAAUUCCUUUCCAUUGUGAAUUGAACUGAAGUGAUUGCUUUUUUUUUACUUUGUAUUGCAAUUGCACUAACAUAAUUCUAAUGAUGGACGGUCACAUGGACGUGUGAGCACGGGAUUGACAAGCCAACUAACAUAAUUCUAUUACUACGAGGAUGCAACUAAUAGACUAAAAAUAUUGUUACUCACCCCCGCUGUCAUAACAAAGAGACACACACGCAAAAUCCAGCUGUGCUUAUUAACACCUCUACCUACCUAGGUUGCUUCAUUUGUAAUCAACUAAUCAACGAAUAUAACUCCAUUGACGUGUUAUGCAGUACUCUUUCACUUCAGCUAGCUAGCUGCAAUUCUAAUUAAUGCAGCCUCCAGAUCUGCUUUGUUUCACCAAGCCUAUAAAACCACACAAUAUGUAUCUCCAGUUCUCCACACAACACACACACACACACACACACACACACAAAACACAGCAGGUGCAACACUAGCUAGCUGUAAGCAUAAGAAGUAGGCAGCAAUGGCGAGGCAUCGCCUCCUCGUCGUGCUCCUCAUCGGGAUAGUUGCAGCCUCCGCCUUCAACCAAGCAGCUGCCGCUGGCCGAGGCCUUGCUGUCGUUGAGAAGUUUGCAGAGCUAGAGCCAAAGCCAGAGCCCAAACCAGAACCAAUUCCCAAGCUUACGCCACACCCAGAGCCAGAGCCUUGCAAACCUGAACCAAUGCCCAAACCCAAACCAAAACCCGAACAAAAGCCCGGACAGAAGCCCGAACCAGAACCCAAGCCCAAGCCAAUGCCAAAACCAAAGCCCGAGCCCUGCUCCAAACCAAAGCCAGAUCCUAAGCCCGAGCCGAUGCCGAAACCCGAACCAAAGCCGGAGCCCAAGCCUAAACCUGAACCGAAACCGAAGCCGCCUCCGAAGUGCAAAUCACCGGCAACACACAAUUGAUGGGAUAAUUAUAUAUGACACUUGACGAAGGAGACCUGGAAUGGAGCCACACUGUGUUAUUGUUAGAAUAAGUGGUGUAGUAUUCUCUGUAUUCACUUUCUUUUUAUUGUUCCAUGAGCGCGUGAUGAGUAUUAGAACUCUGUGAUUAUUAUUUUCUUGUUGCUAUAUGUUCAUCUACUUUGUAUGUGACCAGACUCGUUGUUCUUUUGAGUAUAAGUGCAUGAUUGUAUUCAUUCGCAUGAAUGAGCUAUGUUGUCCAGUGGGCUGCAGUCUAUUGUUGUUUUCUCUAUGGGGUGCAGUCGAUCUUUGUUAUUUUCUCUGUCGUAUUAUGUGGUCUUUUUUAGGGUGGGUGGGUGGGGGGGUAUACUCACACGCCAGGCAUCGGCCUUGUUCUCUACCCUCCACCUAUGAACUUAUGUCCCGAUUGAGUGUAUUCUGAGUUCUAAUCUUGCAGACCCUUCAUUUGUUUCAACGCCAGGCAUGUUGGCCCACCCCUGGACAUGACCGGAUCAUCUUGGGUGUUUUUUCUUCAAAAACAAAUUCAUUAAUGCAGAGUGCGUUGUCCAAUUAGAUGGUGGAUGAUGGAUUUCGAACCAACGUCCGUUGUUUCAACGCAGGGCAAGUGCAUUAUGAGGGUGGAUGCAUGUUAUAUUGUCUAACAACAUUCAAGUUUAAUUAUCUGUUACUAAAAAAUAAAUGAAAGAACAUGCGGUGCCCCCAUGUUUGGUUUUGGUAAUUGAUGACAAUCUCUAUGGACUAAUGGUUGCCUUGAGUUAUAUUUGAAGGAUUUGUCCAUAGGCAUUUCUUGAAGUCCAUGUGUUGGUUUCAAGGAGUUUAUGUGGUGACCAAGGUGUUAUUAAGGAAUUAUCCAAAGAUUGGUCAUGUGAGAGUUGAGCUUAUUGCAAGCAUGUCUUGAAGAAGAAGAUUGUGUGAUCAUUAAUGUUUACCUUCAAGACAUCAUCCAAAUGAAGAGAGUUGGAAAGAGUCAAGGUUGAUUAAGACUAAGUCAAGAGUGAAUCAAGUUGAUCAACACACAAAGCGCACAGGAUGUACCGAGGGAUCAAGCGAUCCCAUGGUAUGGUAAGCAUUGUCAAGUACGCUUUGUGUACUAACCCAUGGUCUUCGUGAGAGUUCUUUGUGGGGUUAGGUUGCGGUGUGCAAGUUCAAGUGAAGCGGGCAAGUUCAAGUAAAGCAUCACGAAGAGAUCAAAUGCUUGAAGCCAUUGUGGUGACAAUGGACUUGUGAAGACGUGCGGAAGGGUGGCUCACCCAUAGUGGAGUAUGGGGGAGCAAUCAACUAGUCUUCAUCGAGCCAACGCAAUUAAGAAAGGUGGUCCAUCUUGAGGGAGUCAAGAUCGUCAUCAUCUAGCUCAAGUGGACCAUGUGCAAGGCAAAGGUUUGCUCUUGAUAGGUUUUCUAUUUUACCGGUCUCGUGAUGGUAGUUGGGAGACCGGGUUAUAGGAUCGAUUGCCGUACUAUCAAGGGGGGCUGUCGAUGAGUAGCUUGAUCGUAUCGUUCAUAGAGAGCUCAAACCAUUGCAUCCUUACAUCAUCUUUGUUGGUUCUUGUUUGGUUCUUCUCUUUGUGAGUUUUGGAGCUUAUGGUCAUCUUGAUGACAAGCUCGAGUUCAUCGAAAACGGAGUUCACUCGCAUCUUCUAUGAUGUUUUCGAUGUUGGAGGUUAUGCCGGUUCUUCUCGGUUGGAGGUUUCACUCCUCUAUUUGUUGGCAUACCUCCCCUGCCUCUUCUUACUAUAACCAGUCGCUGUUUUGAUGCUACUCGUCGUCUUGUAUCCAACAAGCUUGAGUUUCCUCAAUUCGGAGCUCAUAUGAAGAAGUUUUGGCAGUUCUGUUUUUCUCCCUGCGGUAGUACCGCUUGUAGCGUCAAGCGGUAGUACCGCUCAAGUACCGCUCCAGUACCGCUCUACUACCACCUCGAUUUUGGGUCUGCUCUUUUCGUGUUGGGUUCAGCGGUAGUCGCGCGACAGUAAGGCACGGUAGUUCCGCCUAUAAGCGGUAGUACCGCUCCGAUCGAGCGGUAGUACCGCUACUGCACUACUGCCACCGUUCUCUACUCUGUCCUGCCUUCUUUUGUCCCGUGUUCUGCUCCUCCAGCGGUAGUACCGCUGGGGUGAGCGGUAGUACCGCUUAUCGGCGGUACUACCGUCCCAAGGUUCUUGUUUUGUUGCUCCUUUUCUCUGCUUCUUCCACCCGAGCGGUAGUACCGCUCGUGUGCGGGCUGAGCACUUAACGGUUGGAUUUUCCCCUUCCUAUAAAAGGGGGUCUUCUUCCCCAAUGAACCUUAUCCUUUGAGCUCGUGUUCUUUCCCCAUUGUUGACCUUCUUCGAGCUUGCUAACUCUCAAUCCCUCCAUGGAUUCUUGCUAGUUUUUGAGGGAAAAGAGAGAGGAGAUCUAGAUCCACAUUUCCACCAAUCACUUUCUCCUCUAUGUAAGGGGAACCCCUUGGAUCUAGAUCUUGGAGUUUUUGGUGUUCUCCUUCUUGUUCUUCCUCUCAUUUUCCUCCCUAGCAUUAGUUGCUUCGGUGGGAUUUGAGAGAGAAGGACUUGGGCACUCCGUGUGCCCUUGCCAUUGCAUUUGGUGCAUCGGUUUGAGUUCUCCAUGGUGAUACGUGGAAGUUACAAGUUGAGAAGCUUAUUACUCUUGGGUGCUUGGUACCCUUGAGCUUAUUCCUCUUGGGUGCUUGGGCGCCCUAGACGGUUGGUGGUGUUCGGAGCUCAAUCAUUGCGGUGCAAAGCUCCGGGCAAGCGUCGGGGUCUUCAAUUAGGUUGUGGAGAUCGCCCCGAGCAAUUUGACGGGUACCGGUGACCGCCCCCAAGGGUUGCCAAAGUGUACGGGUUCGGUGACCGCCCCCAAGGGUUGCCAUUUGUACGGGUUCGGUGACCGCCCUCAAGGGUCCCUUAGUGGAAUCACGGCAUCUUGCAUUGUGCGAGGGCGUGAGGAAAUUACGGUGGCCCUAGUGGCUUCUUGGGGAGCAUUGUGCCUCCACACCGCUCCAAACGGAGAUUAGCAUCCGCAAUGGUGUGAACUUCGGAAUACAUCGUCGUCUCCGCGUGCCUCGGUUAUCUCUUACCCGAGCUCUUUACUUAUGCAAGCCAUAUUGUUUCUUGUCAUAUAUCUUGUUGUCACCUAGUAGUUUGUCUUGCUUAGCAUAAGUUGUUGGUGCACAUAGGUGAGCCUAGUUGUUGUAGGUUUUGUGCUUGACAAAUUAACCGCUAGGUUUAUUCCGCAUUUGUUCAAGACUAAACCGUAAUUAUUUUAAAACGCCUAUUCACCCCCCCCCCCCUCUAGGCGACAUCCACGAUCUUUCAAUAAAUAAUUGAAAUACUGAGGUGGAGAGCUUGCAUGUGUUUCAUGAUGUGGAGGGCUUGCAUAUGGUGAAAAGUGAAAAGUUGAUUGGUUGCAUCUACUUGAUUUUUUUAACAUGGUACAGACGCAAGCGCUCAUAAAUGAACGCACACAUGCAUGCACACCCUACCCCUAGCAUCUCCGAGAGACUGAGCUGCCAUAUCAUCUUGAGAUUUUAUGAAGUCACCGUAGGCGCCUCGUAGUCGAGGGGAACAUCUCCUCCCACUGGAUGCGCAUCGCCGGUAAUCCUGAAAUAAAUCCGGACUUGAACCCUGGUGGACUGGGGAUACCACUGUCCUUCUAACUAUACAAUCACAGGUUGGUUCGGGGUUGCAUUUACCUGAUGACGUGAUUGACUUGCAUGUGCAUUAGUGAGACGACUUAUUUUGAUAUCGAGGAUAUAUGUGAAGAUAGUUACACCCUGUUGGCCGAGAUUACCAAGUAAAGGCACCAUGAAAAUUAUUUUAACAGAUUUUUCUUACUCAUAGUGAUUAUUUUUUUUAAAUGAUGACUUAUAUGAACAAUGAUCAUAUCCUUUACAAUAGAGGGGAUAAAGAAAUCAGGUGGCUUGUCAUGCCACACCAGCGAUUCACGCCCAAACAUUAACUUCUCUCACACAAUGAGAUAUAGUCACCUUGUCGAAAGCCUUAUCAACCUCAUGCAAUCAUCAUUUGUAACCGCUCCGGACGCUUGAUUCUUGGAAAAAUUCUGAAUAACUCGAACAAUUUCCAUAGAGUCACUUUCAGUUGCGAUAGAAAAGAUUCCCAGCUCCUCUACCAAGCGUAAGCCCAACAGGAGCGCAAGAGCUUCCAUUGACGGUGCAUCAAGCUAUGUUGCUUGAAUUCACACGUAGACUAUAUGAAACUCCCUAUAUGAUCUCUUAGGAUUGCCCCCCUCUCCCCUGCUCCCGAGUCCAUAUGAUAAGACGCAUUGAUGAUGUUCAAUUUUAUGCAUCCAGCAGCAGGUCGACUCCAACUCUUUGCACACUCAGGCAUUAGCUUCUUCUCGGGCAAACAAUGUUCAUCAUGAAUUUAAAAAAUGUUCGAACAUGUAUAAAAAUAUAUUCAAUGUGUAUUUGGAAACAGUUAAAAUUUAUUUGAAAAGGUUCAACAUUUAUGCAUUUUUCUAUUUCCUCAUUUUGUAACGUUCAAAAAUAAUGUUCACGAACUUUAAAAAGGUUUAAAAGCGUGUGAAUCCAUGUUUUUUUUAAAUUCAUGAACAUUAUUUUAAUGCAUGAGUUAUAUAAUCUAUAAAAAUAUGAAGUUGGUUUUAUUCCGAAACAAAGUACCUACUGGUUUUUAGCUGGCCAGCCGGUGAGCUAGAGAAGUGGCCGAGGAGAGCGAGUGCCCCAAUAGGUGUACGUUCCACGCCAGCGCGGUAGUGCUUGGCGACGCCUGAAGAACCAGAUAGGAGCUCCCCGUGAAAUGAUCAAAGGCCUUGAGAUGGAUAUUUUCCUGGGCCGCCUCCUAUUGAACUUCACUCUUUCCUUUGAAAGACAAAAGCACCCAUAAGAUGGUCAGCUAUUUUUAUUUUUAUUUUGCGGAAAAAAAAAAGAAAACUGCAUGAUGAACUAGAAGUACAAAACUAUGUGCUAGUUUCAAGUAUGUGAUGCUUGUUAUCUAGAAGUACAAAACUACCAUUCUCUCUAGUUGUUGUAUAUAUUCCUACAUCUAUAGGGUUUUUUAAGAAGAAAAAUAUACUUUUUUUAGAAUAAAAAAUAGGAAUAUGUUGGUACCAAGACGAUAUCAAUUACACCCCGGCAUCUGCAAAAGCACAACGUCAAGAGUUAUUCAAGAAAUUGAAGCUGCACACAACGUAAUUAUUUUUUAAAUAGAGAAAGGAAAAACAAUAACAAUAAUUACCAUUGUUAUGGUGAUUGGCGAUUUUAUGAGCCGUCCAUCCACCCUGAUCUAAUGAUGGGGAAAUAGGAGUUACGUGGAGUUACAAAACUAAAAUUACAGAAAAUUACCCACCGUUACAAAAUUGUAUUGGGACCGGUUGAUUUUUCCAAGGGUAAAUCCGUCACACGAUAGCUCGCGGUGCCCACAUCGAACCCACGUAUCUACCUAGCCGGCCACUCCGCCGCGGGGAUUAGGGAUCGCCACCGCAUGGCUCAGCCAUGGCCACGUCGCCGCCGUCCACCUCCGCCAUGGCCGGCCUAGCGCCGCCGUCCACGUGCGCCAUGACCGGCCUAGCGCCUCUGUCCACCUCCUCCGUGGCUGCCAUAGCGCCGCUGUCCACCUCCCCCAUGUCUGCCUCAGCGCCGCCGCCUGCCUCCACCGUGCUCAGCCCAGUGCCGUUGUUUACCUCGACCAUGGCCCCCAGCAGCUCUUCCCAUCACCAAUCCAUCCCCCUAUCCCACCAUUCCCAUCGCCAGCAAGGUCCGCCAGAAGAGGCCGACAUGAAUCCCCAAGAUCAAGAUCCAAGAGGACUAGAUGAUUGCAGCGUUAGAGAAGAAUUUGUAACAAUCUACAAUAAGGUAAACCCCCUCUUCCAAUUAGCAUAAAAGCUCCAAGUUCUCCCCUUUGUUCUCCAAUUAGCAUAUUCUCUGGAUGGUCUGCAGGUUCGAGUAGGAACACGAACACAUCAAUGAGGUCUUGUUUCAUUAGGAUGACAGAACACAUAAUCUGUACAAAUAGGAUGCAGUAUUUUCAUUUGCUGAGUUAAUGAAUAAGGUUUAGUUCAUGUUAUAGCAGAAUGGCAUGAAUCAUGAUACUGAUGUGCUUCCGUGGCAAACAUAAUUCUACAAAACUACAUAUGUGUACUAGAUAACAGGAGAUACAAGAGGAAUAUUACAAGUGUUGAAAAUUAACAGUAACUAGUAGGCUACAGAGUUUAUGUCACUAAAUUCAUAAUUGCAGAUCUAGCAUAAAAAUGAUUAGUAUAAGAAGUAAUAUUUUCUUCUCUUCAUGUACUCAAAAUGUAAAAGAAGUUAUCACUAGAAUUAUCCGAAGAAAAAAUAUUCUAAAUCAAAAGGAAAUGGUUGAGUCUCCAAGGAAAUAAGUGGUUAAAAGACAAGGAAAUCAUGUAGGUCGUAAUCUACAUUUCAAGUCAUACCUAGAAAUUAAGCAGUAGAACUGACUGAUUGGAAUCCUCUGAAACUAAAUACACCCAGUUUGCUAGACACAUUUAACCUGCUCACUUCAUUCUGCUUACAUUACUUCAUCUCCUCUGGUCUCUGCAUACUUUCCGAUGAAUUUCUAAAGCGGUCAGUACUGAAGUUGAUCUACUAUGAAGAUUUUAUAUUUAUGUCUCAAAAUUUCUGGUGCCUCUCGCUUCAUAAGAAAAGAUUAAAUCUCUCAUAUAUUACGUGUUUAUCUGGAAGCCGCUCCAUUCUUUGUUAUAUACUUCUGUUUAACCCAGUAUCACAUUAUAUAUGUACCGCUACUACUGUUUUCUAAAUGCAUUUACUUCGGCGUUCACAGAGUCUUUUGAGUAUGCUUUUAUUUCUGGAGGACGCAUCCUGAGUGACUACUUAGUAAGUUUUUCUUUUGUUUUUCACGGAAUUGAUUACCACAAUUAAUCUCAUAAUUUCUGUGUUUUUUAUUUUGCAGACCUAGACAGAUACGAACGCACAUCAUUAGAGCCUAGGGAGAAGAUCAAGGUAUAUGUGAUAAUUUAUAUUCCCUAGGAAAAUAUACAAUGGGGCUCGAGUCAACAUAUCCUUACCUGGGAAGAUAUUUGGCGGAAGCUCCUAGCUGUGAGAUAUCUGUAACACUUGUGUCGCCUUAUAUUGAAUAUUUUCAGUCGACCGAACGUUUCAAAGAUUUCACUAGUUGGUUUGCUGAAUCUGGAAAUGAUAUUUAGUUCUGAUUGAUGAUAGGUUGGCAUAUAUCUGUUUGUGUAUCCGUCCACUUAUUUUGCUUUUUUUAGGGCUACACUUGGUUUGCUAUAGAAAUUAGCUAAUUAUUCCUGUUGAGAAUUUGAUCACCUUUUCUCCAUUGAUCAAGUAUCUUCUCGUGGAGGUGUGGAUGAAGGACCCCUCCAAUGUGCAAAAAAUUGGCACAUGGAGCUGCCGGAGCCAGACGGCCCAGCCCCAUCGCCGACAGAAAAGCGCAGGAUGGUGCAUGGCGUCAUCAUCUAUGUUGGAUCAGUGGAGGAUCACAGCACCACGUUGAUAUGGAAAGAGAUGAUUUGGCGAAGAAAAGACCCAUCUACUUUGCAAUUACUAUACUUUGUCUAUAAGAAGUUACUGUACAUAUGCAUUUCCCUAUCAGUAUUCUGCAGCUAAACGAGGAAACUUGGUAUGUAUGAUUUGUCAUGAGUUGGAACCAGCAAGUGCUUCUUCCAUCUGUUCUUCAAUCUGUAGUCCAUAUUUUUUGCUUAUAACUAUACAUCAGUUCCUAGUUUAGACAGAGGCUGAACUUCUUGUUUCAAAACUUGGAGAACACUUGUGAUGCAGUGGCAACCCGCAGGGCAUAAACAAUCUACAUUAUAAUGUCACUGAAGGAAAUCACCUAAAAUAGAUACUACAACUCAAAGUUGUAUUAUCGACACUUAUGGGCCUGAACAACUAAGACUGAUACUUGUAAGCCUAUGAGCUCGAAAGAGUGAGGUCCAUACUUGUGAGCCCGAACGCCUCAGAGCUAUACUCCCUCCGUUUCUUUUUACUCCGCAUAUAAAGUUUGGUCAAAGUCAAACUACACGAAGUUUGACCAAAUUUAUAUCAAAAAAUAUAAACAUCUACAAUACUAAAACUAUGUAGUAUGAAAAUACAUUUCAUGAUGCAUCUGAUAAUAUUGACUUCAGAUUGUGGAUGUUGAUAUUUUUUAAUAUAAAGUUAGUCAAACUUUACAAAGCUUGACUUUGACCAAACUUUAUAUGCAGACUAAAAAGAAACGGAGGGAGUACUUGUGAGUCCGGACGACUAAGAGCAGUACUUUUAACCUCGAACAACUACGAUCGGUAGUUGUGAGCUCAGACGACUCAGAGAGUCGUACUUUUGACCUAGGACGACUCACGGUUAUUCGUAGUUGUGCGUGUGGGCCCUGACGACCCAUAGUGAUUUCUAGUGGUAUUUGUUGCUAAGUGUUAUUGAGAGUGACUAGUAGUGGUAUUGGUGGCCUGGAUACCGUAGAGGGGUAUGGGAUGGUAUUGGUGGCCCGGGCGAGCCAUAGUCGUACUUAUGGGCACACAACUAGCACUAUGGGUCGUUCGAUCCCACUACUAGCACUAUGGGUCAUUCGACCCCACUAGUAGCACCAUAUGGUUCGACUGAACCUAGAACUACAAUUAUGGGUCGUCCGAGUCAACAAACGCCACUAUGGGUCGUCCGAACCUAGAACUGCAAGUAUGGGCCAUCUGGGUCCACAAGCACCACUAGGGGUGGUCCGGUCCCACAAAUAAUGCUAUGGGUCGUCCAAUCCUACUACUAGCAUUAUGAGUCGUCUGAACCCAUAACUACCAGCAUGGGUUGUCCGGACCCACAAGUAGCAUUACCGGUCAUCCAGAUCGGUACUUGUGGACCUUGGUGAAGAUGAUUGAUACUAAUGAGCCCGAACGAGUAAGAUCGUUACUAGUGAGCCCGAACAAGUAAAUUCGGUACUUGUAGGCUCGGACUGCUAAGAUGGAUACUUGGCCCGAACCACUAAGAGAGAUACUUUGGGUCUGAAUGACUAAGAUCUGUUCUUGUGGAUCCAGACGACUAAGAUCGGUACUUAUGGACCCGGGUGAGUAAGAUCGAUACUAGUGAGCCCGAAUGAGAAAGAUCGGUACUAGUGAGCCUGAACGAGUAAGAUCGGUGCUUGUAGGCUCGGACUAAUAAGAUCAAUACUUGUGGGCCCGAACCACUAAGAGCGAUACUUAUGGGUCCUUUUAUGUUUGGUACUAGUGAGCCCGAACGAGUAUGAUCAUUCUUCACGCAGAGAGAACUUAAGAACGAGGAUGAUGUUGAAUGGUUUAUUAGUAGGCUUUAAGUUUUUGUUAGUAGGCUUUGAAUUUUUAUCUUCCAUCUUCGCGCGGGUCAGGAUGGAAGGUAUCCUUAGUGACAUUCACUUCAAGUUUUGUUCUCCAAAGGAUGGAAUGAUGUGAGAAUCUUUUUUAUCUAUGUUUCAAGUCGUCAUAUUAUAAUUUCCAAUAUGUCUCGAGUUCAACCUUCUCUCGAACUGAACCACUUUGUGAAUACUGGUUUUCCCUUCAAAUUUCCACUUAAAACACUGUUGCCUGCACAAACAUAUCAUUCACACUAAACUGGAACAUGCGUGUCUCCAACAGUGCUUUUACAUUAAACUGUACUUUUUCCUGAUAUGACAGUGUUAGCUUUAGUAAACUAUAGGUUGGAAGUGUGACAGUAUUUUAGUAAAACUUCUACUGAUGAUCGUCACCCAUUAACUCCACCUCCAGAUCCCAUGCCAAGAAAACUGCACAGAGGUGAAGGCUGGUGAAAAACGAGACAUGAAGCCUUUUUUUUCCGAUAAAGGGCGAUUUUAUUAUCUCAAAUGUAGCAUCAAGCGGAUACAAAACAUUAUGAGAAACACCCGGCCGCCUCCGCAUAACUAGAAUGCACACGGCCCAAUAUGAAGGUCUGACAAACAUUGAUGAAAAAAAAACCGACAAAUCGGCAACAGUAGAGCCCUUUUUGUCAGCUAAGUUUAAGUUGAUUCAGACAACGCUCGCAACAAAGGGAGAGGAUGAACAAUGAUUGCACUAUGUACCCUUUUUCAUUCAUGGACAUGAUAUGAGAGCAAUGCGGGUAUUCAUGGCCCCCAUUUUUUUCCUAGCUUUUAGACUGCACAGAGAAGUAAAAUUGUGCCAAGAACUACUGAUCAUUGUUGUCUGAAAACACGGGAGAAGAGAUCAGAGUUCAGAGAACAUCGUCAUCACCUGCAAAGGACAGAGGAUAAUUAGGAUCGAUUGACUAUAUCUUCCUGCAUACAACAUACGAAUAAAUAAUUGGUGUGAAUCAUGUGGCAGAUGAAAAAUCAACUCUUUUAUGUUGAAUUUCAAUCAUGUCGAUGCUAAAGUGUAACAUCAAAGCUAGUCGGUUCCCAGAAUUGGCCUCGGUCAAACAAGUAAAAUCUGGUAGAAAAGACAAUGAAUCAAAUAAUAGCGAACCCAUGCAAAACUAAGAAAAUUAUUGAGAAAAGCUGAACCCAUUACCCAUUUUUGUUCUAACAAGGAAAAUUAUGUCACUAAGAAAAUCAAUAAGGAGUCUAGCUAUUGCAGUGUCCUGCUAUGUAGCAUGCAAUCAACCAUUGAAGUUUUCAUCGAAACAGGUCACAUUCUUAAGCUGAUUGGAAGUAAUGAUCCUGAGAGGUCGAAUCCUAAAGGUCGGAAAUAGUGAUCAAUGAGGUGCUACAUGUCGGAAAUAUAGUACACUUCUUGCUUUUCACUCAUCCUACAGACCAGAAAUAAUGAUCAAUGAGAUGCUAGCUGCAGGAAAGUUUGUCACAACAUGAUAUUGACGGUAAUAUCGUAAUAAACUAUAAUUGGCAUGAACUCUGGGUGAUCCACACAGCUAUAGUAAGUUAGGUAGUAACCAAUUUAUUAUAGUUGCAGCGAGCACAAAGAGAAGCUUGUCCAACAUCGUCUGAGAUGGUUUGGGCAUAUUCAGCGCAGGCCUCCAGAAGCUCCAGUGCAUAGUGGACGGCUAAAGCGUGCGGAGAAUGUCAAGAGAGGGCGGGGUAGACCGAAUUUGACAUGGGAGGAGUCCGUUAAGAGAGACCUGAAGGAUUAGAGUAUCACCAAAGAGCUAGCAUUGGACAGGGGUGCGUGGAAGCUUGCUAUCCAUGUCCUAGAGCCAUGAGUUGGUUGCGAGAUCUUAUGGGUUUCACCUCUAGCCUACCCCAACUUGUUUGGGACUAAAGGCUUUGUUGUUGUUGUUGUAAGAGAAAAACAACUGGUUAUCAAUAACAGUGGCGGAUCUUAUAGAAUCUAUGCUUAGAAGCCAACUCUUGCAUGCUCUAACAGAUAAAUAGCAAAAUAAGGAAUUUCAUAAACAACAAAAAGCAUUAGAGACCGCUCGAUUAAACAUACAAAAGUCAAUGGUUAAUUAGUAUGUCAGGAAAUUAGGAUGACCGGACAUAUCUUGGAGAAUAUACUUGGUAAAUUAUGCAAUGCCUGUAUGGUAAAAAAUGUGGUUAGGACUAUGAGGGAAACAAUUUAGUGCACUUGUCUUUUUUGUCUAACAAUGUUCUUAUUUGUGCAAUAGCCCUAUCCAGAAACAAUGAGAUCCUUUUCUAGUUUUAUGGUAUUAAUAGUUGCUAGAUCAAAUAUAGUAGUUAAAUAUUCUUGAAAAUUCCUUAUGUUAGAGUGGAACCCUUGGAAAGUUAGUACUCAUGAGCUAGAUGAAGGGGAAGAAACUAAAGGAUUAACUGGGCAGAUAAGAGAUAAAUUGUGCAUAUAUUUCUAGUCAGUUGCGGGGAGGUCCAGAUCCAGUUGCUCCCAACCUCAUGAAGCUAACAAAAUGUUGCAGUCUCUGACCAAUGCCUCAUAUCUCUUGAUUAGUUGGGAUCUGCAGAUAGUAUUGAUAUGAUAACGGCAGAUGCAAGCAAUAUAAUUUCUUUACUACAAACAGAAGCGCAAUACCUUUUUUCGAUAAAGGGUGGAUUUUAUUACUCAAAACUAAGCAUCAAGAGGAUACAAACAUAGUGAGCACACACCCGGCCUCUGCAUAGCUAAGAUGCGCACAGCCAACACCAAUGCACACACAAAAACCGCCGGCAAGUAGCAAAGUCAUAUAAGACCAAAGCUAUGCCUAAGCGAGGAAAAAGAAAAACGCCCUGAAGCGGUCAAAAUCACGAUCGACAAACUACAACAAUGACCAUAUCCGCACCAACCAUCUCAUAACACCACAAGGACAAUGAUGUUCGUCAACAGCAACGCCUUCAAGAAGGGAGCGACGCUCGAGUGCCGCCGUCACUGGAACCAACCACCAAAGGCCAGUGUCUAGGUUUUCACCCUGAAGAAACAGUCCGAGCAUAUCCGAGCAAUGCCUUCAAUAAGGUAAUGAUGACAGAACAUCGUCAUUGCCAGGUAUAACCGUCAAGGGCCAGACCUAGGUUUUCACCCUGGAGCUUGAGACCAGGUACUCAAAAAGCAACACCAUCGGACUCAAGCAUGUGUUGUAUCCACCACUUUUCCGCAAUUCUAGCAGCUGCAUGUGCUGGGUUUGAAAACCGAUAGCAACCGAUGCGCAACCAUACCCUCUGCGUCAAGUCAUCAUCCAUAGAUUGCAUAUCACCGCCAAAGCGACCACUGGAUCUUGAAGAGUAUCACUCGCAAAGACCCUUUAGUGUCCAUCGCAAUCCGCCGUGAGGCCGCUGCCACGCUGGUGAGUUCAUCCUGUCUUGCCGCGAUCCGCACCCGCCGUGCCAAAAGCCUUGCGGAAGAGCAGCGGAGAAUCCUGAUCCAGUUGAGGACGCUAGGGCCUCGCGCCGCCAUCCCCAUGGCCAGAUGCGCUUAAGCUAGACCACGUCGACGACUCAAUGCAGUAGGCGCCCUACAUGCAACAGCCAAAGAUAUGAGCCCGGUCGCAUCUUUGUUAGGCGGUACCAGCUGCGAUGGAGGACUCUGAUCUUGAAACAGUUUGCAUCCAAGAUUCAGCCAAAGCAAGCCAGCCACGAUGGAGGAUCGUGAAACAAUCAGCAUCCAAGACGGCAAGUCAGCCCUGCGCCACCGGCACAGAACCGGGCCACCCUGCCACCAGGAGCCUAAACGGAUCAAUGUACAAGAGAAGACCAAACUGGCAAUAGCAGCUGGAGUUAUGUUGGAGACGGAGCAGUAAGGUCAUUCCAUGCUCAGGGCGUCCAAAAAAAAUGCUCAGGGCGUCUCCUUCCACCCCACCCUUGCCGUUGUACUCCACCAUGCUCCUCCACGUCCCCGAGGAUCCUGCACCGGGCGGCAUGCACGGCAGUGGAUGCAGCCUCGGUGCCUUCACCGUGGACCCGCUCACGCCGUUUCACGAUUCAUGAGGGACCUGGCGGGAGCGGGAGCGGAGAUUAAUCCGAGGGCCAAGGAGGAGACCUUCUGGGGAAGGGGCGCUGAUGGCGGGAGAAGCUGGAAGUCAUGGUCGGAGCCACUGGCAGGCGAAGUGGCGGCGGCCGCCGGCGGCUCUAGGGUUAGCAUCGCCCGCGAAAGAGGGAUGGACUCUGCGUGCCUCUGUCUUGGGCCUUGCUUGGCCUGGGCACGCUCGAUGCUUCAACGCGGGACAGAUAGGACCAUUAUACCCUUAUUAUUAAAAAAAAUACUUUAAGUGAGUUUUUCAGAUCUAACGGACAGAAAAUCUUGAGAUGAAGUUACGUGAAAUUACGAGGCGUAACUCGCCAAUCACCCUAAAAGAGCUCAACGAUAAUACACGCCGAGGGGCCACAACAAGCAGUCCCUUAUAUCAUAUCAUGCCUACCCACUAAACUCCUUUGAUACCAGCAAGAAGCGCAUAUCCGCAUAAAUGUGAUCACAUAUCACCAUAAAGCUCAUUGCCAUGAUAUUGGAAAUUUUGUUGUUCCUUUCACUCCAAAUGCGACAACCAACAAUAAAUCAAUCAUAGCGAUCAAGAAGAAGGGGAAUGAUUCUUGUUUUUUUUAUCUAUGUUUGUAGAGUGUACAACUUUAUGUUUAUGAUGUAUUGGGUUUUUUUCCUGUCUUAUUAAUGAAUGAAAGGCGCGCUAGAGAUGGCUGUGUCAACGCAGAGGCCAGGGUUUUCACCACCUUCAAAAAAGCAAGAAAGAAGGCAAUGCUGCUGCAUUUAGCUUAAAUUUACUAGAUCUGUUGGUUGGGUCGAUGAGGUACGUAGAAAUUAGUAAAAGGGACAUGUCAGGUUGACACGCAAAAGAAAAAGAAAAAGAAAAGCGUGAGCAGGGUGUAACGUACGGCACUCCAACCAUGCUAAUCGACUGAGAACAUACGCCGGACUGGAAUCCAUGCCCUACUGCUACAAUCAAAAUAAUUAGCGAGGGAGUGAUGGGUAGAAAAGUCCAUGGUGCAUGCAUGCUAUGGCAAACAGAUGGGGGGCCAUUUUCGUGUGCACCACUACGUCCUUAUGACAAGAGGGUACCUGUAGCUAGAGCUGGCUCGCCCUACUUACGUUACUCCACUACCGUCUUUGUCAUAUGUACUAUGUAUGCAAUGUCGGUCUGUACCUACCGGAAACUGCUCAGCACGCCACACAACAAUACAAUACAUACAGAUCACAUAUAUAGGAGUACAUCUUAGGUAUGGGUGCCCCUACAUAGACGUGUGGUGUGGCGUGAGCAAGGGACAAGGCAACUAACAGAUUUUCCCAUUUGCAACAGGGUGCAACUAAUAGAGUUGAAAUAUUGUUACCGGAUAUGUUGCUGUGCCGAUCCGCACACCCACCGGCGGCACUGGUUUACAGGGAUUGUGGCACACGCGUCCGGAUCUGAUUGGCUCCUCCGCCCUAUUAAACCACACCGUAUGUAUCUCCACUUCUCCACACAGAGCACACCCAUCCACCAUCCAUCCACGCUAGAAGCAGCGGCGAACAAGUGCACCCCUAGCUGCGAGCACAAGGAGCAGGCAGCAAUGGCGAGGCGUCGCCUCCUUGCCGUGCUUAUGCUCCUCGUCGUGGUAGUGGCAGCCUCCACUUUCCACCAAGCGGCCGCCGCUGGCCGAGGCCUUGCUGCCGUCGAGAAGUUUGCGGACCUGGAGCCAAAGCCAAAACCUAAACCAGAGCCAAUGCCCAAACAAAUGCCCAAGCCAGAACCCAAGCCGAUGCCUAAACCUGAACCGAAGCCAGAGCCCAAGCCCAAGCCAAUGCCCAAACCUGAACCAAAGCCAGAGCCCAAGCAUAAACCAAUGCCUAAGCCAGAGCCCAAGCCGGAACCUAUGCCUAAGCCGGAGCCCAAGCCUAAACCUGACCCGAAACCAGAGCCACCACCGAAGCACAAGCCGCCAACAGCUUACAAUUGAUGGGAUGCUAUAUAUGAAAACUGAAGGAUCGAGGAGAUCAUGGCCGGAGCCACAAUCACGAUAUUUCUAGAAUAAGUGGUGUAGUAACAAUGUCAUUCUAUCCGGCUAGCUCCAUAGUGAUGCAUCUUUCUGUAUUCUAUGUAUUUCGUUACAUUUACAAAGUUUCUGUUCCAUGCACCCAUGAUGAGUAUUACUACUUUGUAAUUGUUAAUUUGCUUGUUGGUGUACGUUCAGUUUUGUACGUGACUCGUUGUUCUAUUUGUGUAUCUAUAUGCAUGAUUCUAUUCAUUCGCAUGAAUGAGUUAUUUUGUCCAGAG